Cucurbitaria berberidis CBS 394.84 is the source of this 100-nucleotide non-coding RNA. Lineage: Eukaryota; Fungi; Ascomycota; Dothideomycetes; Pleosporales; Cucurbitariaceae. The record is from the annotation of a RefSeq genome assembly.
GGUGGUAUGGUCUAGUGGUAUGACGUCGCGUUGUGGCUGGCGGUUCAAUUAUGAACCCGAUCCAGAUCCGCGCCAGCCUGGGUUCGAGUACGUUAUAUCA